AAACAUAUUGAGAUCAGUCAUUCGAAGUUUAGUUGAUCGGUUGUUCAAGAGAACCUUUUAAUAUUAUCGAAUUUACCAUGGAGAAAAGAAAAUGCACAGUAGCUUAAAUACAUCUGACCUCUAGUAUUUUAAAAUCAUUGGUGAGGCGUAGGGAAAUAAUUAUUAAUCAGAGCUUGCACUCAUACUUGGCUCAUAAGAUUUAUGUACAAAAAUAAAUAAUUGCCAAAUGAAAAUGAUUCCACGGGAAUUAAGUUUAACCU
Molecule: non-coding RNA, 260 nt
Organism: Cinara cedri
Lineage: Eukaryota; Metazoa; Arthropoda; Insecta; Hemiptera; Aphididae
Source: the annotation of a GenBank genome assembly